UGCUAAGUCUGUGAGAAGCUGUGACGCAG
This 29-nucleotide non-coding RNA is filed under the name Rattus norvegicus (Norway rat). The record is from RNAcentral. Lineage: Eukaryota; Metazoa; Chordata; Mammalia; Rodentia; Muridae.